GAUGAAGAACGUAGCGAAAUGCGAUAAGUAGUGUGAAUUGCAGAAUUCAGUGAAUCAUCGAAUCUUUGAACGCACAUUGCGCCCCUUGGUAUUCCAUGGGGCAUGCCUGUUCGAGCGUCAUUUGUACCCUCAAGCUCUGCUUGGUGUUGGGUGUUUGUCCCCGCCUCCGCGGGGACUCGCCUCAAAAUCAUUGGCGGCCGGUACGUUGGCUUCGAGCGCAGCAGAAACGCGAACUCGAGGCCCGGCGGAUCGGCGACCAGAAGUCUCUUCUUCACAGUUUGACCUCGGAUCAGGUAGGGAUACCCGCUGAACUUAAGCAUAUCAAUAAGCGGAGG
Molecule: unclassified non-coding RNA, 335 nt
Filed under: soil metagenome
Description: partial contains 5.8S ribosomal RNA, internal transcribed spacer 2, and large subunit ribosomal RNA
Rfam family: 5.8S ribosomal RNA (bases 1-120)
Source: RNAcentral